GCCGGCAGCCGCGGGGAGAGCUGGUGCGCAGCGCCCGCUUAGUCCCGACACCGCCUUUGCUUCGCUCAAGGGCACAACGGGUUGGCCUCCCGGCCAGCUCUCGCCAUUUAUCUACUCUGGUGCAGGAGCACCUGGGCCGAAAGGGCAGAGAGGGAGCAGCGGCGGGGCUGGGGCUGCCUCCGAGCGCUGUCCGGCGGUGGCGAUCCGCUCCGCUUUCCUGCUUCCCCAGAAAGACCUUGAAAUGAAGAAAAGCAGCUCAUGGAGCAGAAGGAUUUUCCUUAUCCAGGGAAAGAAAGAAGUCUUUUCAGAGAACAAGCCUUUGUACCAGGUUCUCUGCCAGGAGUCAUGGGGUUUCUGAACGACCUGGAGAGGCCACAUCGAAUAGGUCUUCUUGUUGAGUCGGAAAGUCUUGACAACAAAUGAAAAACUACUUCAGCUUAAGGCCGACCACUGAAGAGAGGUUUCUGUACAUACGUGAUAGCACAUCAUGCCAUUUGUGCCACAGAGGCUCCUUGGGACCUCCUGCAAUGUAGCUUCUGACAGAUUAUGCAAAACAAACAACAUACAGAAUUCUAAAACACAUGUGUCUUGCACCUAAAUAAAUUAAUUGAAGCUGCCAA
Corvus hawaiiensis (hawaiian crow) is the source of this 620-nucleotide long non-coding RNA. RefSeq lists it as uncharacterized. The transcript is spliced from 3 exons. The record is from RefSeq and is a predicted model, not a curated record. NCBI's taxonomy places the organism in Eukaryota, Metazoa, Chordata, Aves, Passeriformes, Corvidae.